This 232-nucleotide ribosomal RNA is filed under the name uncultured bacterium. RNAcentral's name for it is "partial 16S ribosomal RNA". It matches the Rfam family "Bacterial small subunit ribosomal RNA", at positions 118 to 351 of the family's 1533-position model. The record is from RNAcentral.
UGAGUAACCUGCCCCUGACUCUGGGAUAAGCCCGGGAAACUGGGUCUAAUACCGGAUAUGACACCUCCUGGCAUCGGGUGGGUGUGGAAAGUUUUUCGGUUGGGGAUGGACUCGCGGCCUAUCAGCUUGUUGGUCGGGUAAUGGCCUACCAAGGCGACGACGGGUAGCCGGCCUGAGAGGGCGACCGGCCACACUGGGACUGAGACACGGCCCAGACUCCUACGGGAGGCAG